GCAAAAAAAAAAAAAAAAAAAAAAAAAAAAAAAAAAAAAAAAAAAAAAAGCUCAGCGAGAAACGCUUCUCUCUCUUCAAUGGGUAAUCUGCCACUGCCAGCCACCGCUGCUACCUGUGUGCCAACCUGCCGCCGCACCGUCCAUCCACCGCACUCCAGUCUCCAGCCACCGCACUCCAGUCUCUAGCCACCGCACAGCCACACUCUAGACAAGUUAAUUUCGUAUUCAUACUUAACUAUUGAUUUUAAGCUUUUGAUUUGUUAUUCUACAUGAGUUGUUGGGUUGAUUUUGUGCAUAAAUUACUUGUUUAUAUUAUUUAAUCUAUCAAGUUAGUGUGGAUGUUGCUUGAAAUUGAUGAUUUGUUAUUUAGUUUAUCAAAUUAGAGAGUUAGGGUUUUUUAAUUUCUUAGGAAUUGAUAAUAUUGGUUUUCUCGAUUUUUUUUUUCCUUAGGAAUUGAUAAUAUUGGUUUUCUGGAUCAGCCAUUGGUGUAAGUUAUCUUUAGGAAUGAAAUUAAUUAAUUGAUUUCUAUCAAUCAAAAUUCAAAGAAAAAAGGAUUACAAGCUCAGCCCACCUUCUUUAUGAAAUUAAUGACCAGAUUAUAUAGUCAUUAUUUAUCCUGCUUAACUUGAAUUUGCUUGUAGAUACCGUAGUAAUGUUAGAUUUCAGAAUUGCAUUUAUUUCGUUAAUAUAUGAGCUGUUGUACAUUCAAUUGUUGCUUAAGAUCUGUAGCCAUUUUAUUGACAUCUCCACUUGAUUAAUGUGUUUAUUGAUGGAAAUAAUUCACAUACAAUAUUUUGUUGGAUGCAAUUUGGUACAAUAAUGUUUAGAUGGAAUAAUUUGCAUGCGAUUAACUAAUUUCUUUAAUCAAGACAUAUUCUACAUAGAUGUUCAAGAAUGUGGAUUGUGUGUGAGAGUUUGGUGUUAGCAUUGCUUUUAUGUGGAAAAAGCUGAGUUAGUGUUAUUGUCUACUCUGUAUUAUUGUUGCUUGAAUGUUAACAUUGCUGCUAUAGUUUUUCCGUUCAAUUGCUACUGUAUUUUGUCUGAAAUUAUUGUUGCAUGUAAUAAUGUUGUUGUCGCCAUGUUGUAUUGCUGCUAUUGUUACUUUGCAGUUGCCCCAUAGCUGCAGUUCUAUCCGUCCCAAAAUUAUGGACCUACAGUCGUUUUUAGCCCCUAGCCCCUUCAUAAAAGUUAUAGAUCUUGCAAAGUUAUCCAAUCUAGGCUCAAAAAUUUCUCAAUUUGGAAUUGUGUGCUGAAAGUUAUGCCUUCUAGAAAUUUCUGUGGUCUGCUAACUUGGUUCUAUCGCAACAAGUUAUUAUUGUUCUCUUGAUGCCUAUGUGAGGUUGUUGCAUUGAGUUGGGUAGGGUUGCUAAAUUGAAUACUGUGCCUUUUCUUUUUUAUUUUUAUUCUAUUUUCCCUACAAUUUUUUACAAAUUACUUCUUAAAUUAAUAUGUGGAUUUGGAAAUACUGGUGUCUUUUGUAAACAAAUGCUUGAUUUUGGUACAUUUCUAAACUUGAAGUGAUUGAGAAGAAUUCUUGAUGUUUUCAGAAAUUAGCUUGAGAGAACCAUACAAGUUAUAGUUGUGCCAGAUUAUAAACGGAUUUUGGGGCUCGGUUAUCUUGGUUGUCAGGUGGUUAGAUGUGCCCUAGCUCUAAAUAGAUCAUUAUUAUUGUAAAACUUGUGUGAUUUCAUAGUUGUAAAAAUGAACAUGUUUGUGGAAAAAUUGGCUCAUUAAACAACACUUGGAGGAGUUUGUCCAUCAAGGGUAAGCAAAAUAGAUCCUUUGUGAAUUUAUUAUGUUGAAUAUAUAAUUUGAGAAGGUUCGUCCUACCUCUCUUGUUUCAGUGUUUGCCAAUAACCACUGAUGUCAGGACUUACAGCGAGAAAAUGCUUAACGAUGAGUUCUACAUUGGUCUAUGACAAAGAAGAGCCACUUGGAAGUAAUAUGAUGAGCUUCUUGAGGAGUUCAUGAGUGCAGUAAAGCAGAACUAUGGAGAAAAGUUCUUGUUAUACAGGUUUGUUACUAGACUUACUACUGUCUAUGAUUAUAAUUUCCAUUAUUUAAAGUAAUCUGUAUCCUUUCAUAUUUUAAAAUUUAAUUGGAUUUAUAACUGAAAUUCAAAGACUACCAACCAUAAUGCCUUCAAGCUGCUCUCAAAAUACUCAACAAGUUAUCGUGUGUUAGUUCAAUGGUGAUAUUCAGGGGACUACAUCUAUUGUCCUAACAAGAAUUCUUUUCGCACUGAAAUUAGUUGGUGGCACCUUGGCUGAACAUAUAUUUUUAUUCCUUGGACCAGGAGAGGUAAGAAUGAUACCUUUUUUUUCUUUGACGUUGAGCUCUGAGUGUAAAGUGGUUCUGAUUGAAUUACAGUGAAGCUAACAUUUUUAUUCAAUUACGGUGAAGCUGAUUCCUGUCAUAUGACAUUGUAGGCUGCCAAAGGUUUUAAUUCUUUGUUUAGAAUUUCAAUUAUUUAUCUUAAAUUUUGAAAAACUAUAUUAUUCUUUAACUUUUUUAUUUGAUUGGUAUUACAGGUAAAGCACAUGGAAGAAAGAUAUAUAUUGAAGACAGAGAAAGAGAGUUGAUUUAUUGGAGCUUUAGAUUGUCUAUAGUCAAUUGACUUGUUUCCCGCUUUGGACGUUACAAUCCCUCCAAUGUAUAUACAAUUAGAUACGAACAAUUAGUGGUACUAAUAAUGUACUAGUUUGUGAAUCUAUUUAGCUUUUUUAGGGUAGACACAUUGUGUAGUAUAUUUACUUGGAUAUUGUUUUUGGAUUUUGAUAGAUGUGUUCACAUGCGUUAUGAUAUAAAAAAUUUUACAUCUAUAUUGAUGUUCAGCUUCCAUUUA
Molecule: long non-coding RNA, 2845 nt
Organism: Chenopodium quinoa (quinoa)
Lineage: Eukaryota; Viridiplantae; Streptophyta; Magnoliopsida; Caryophyllales; Amaranthaceae
Exons: 3
Source: RefSeq, a predicted model, not a curated record